Pezoporus flaviventris is the source of this 1434-nucleotide long non-coding RNA. RefSeq lists it as uncharacterized. Lineage: Eukaryota; Metazoa; Chordata; Aves; Psittaciformes; Psittacidae. The record is from RefSeq and is a predicted model, not a curated record. The transcript has 2 exons.
CCUUGCUUUUCAGGUGAGGGGAUCAGAGGUCAGCAACUAGCUUUUGUUUUCAAUAGCCUGAAGGCAGAAAGGCUGAUAGGACAUUCUCAGAUAAACUGCUAUUCCUAGUAUGAAAAGGCUUUGAGGACCUUGUAAACUAGGCUCAGAAUUCCUUCCCUCUUUGUUACUGGUUUUGGUAAGAGGGGGGGGUACUGUUUUGGGGUUGAGGUUUUUGUUUUGUUUGGGGGCUGGGGGCACAUUUAUGAUGUUUUCUUAGUUCCCAGCACUGGGAUUCCACCACACCCAAGGUUCCUCCGAGCUCAGUAUCAGCUCUUGAGAUGUUUGCCAGACUUGGCUGCAGUAGCCAGCUCUCUGCAAGGUUUUCUGGUGUUCUGCUGUUUCACAUAUUACCACAGUGGGCUGGCAAGCAAGUGGGCUCUGGGGCUCAUGGGGUGAAGUUAAUCCAUGCUUUUGCACUCUUGCAGAAAUCCUGGCAGGACUUUAGGCCAUGAUGAGAACUGGAUGGAGGACAAGGGCUGGGGAAGAAUAUUAGAAAUUGCAUUUGAGACUCUGCUGGGAGUUUUAAUACCUAUAAUGUGUUUGGUUUGAUAAAGUAGAAAAAGUGCUUGUUUGGGAAAGGUGACAAGAGACCAGCAAAACAUAUUUUGGUGCUACAGAUCAGAAGACUCCUUCCUGACACUUUACUUGGAUGGAUAGGCUUAGCUUACUAUUUUAGAGCAAACAACAAAGCAGCUCUGCAUUGUAGUGCCAGAGCAGUAAUAGAGCACUUCCUGGACUUAAAUUCAAUUUUACAUUCCCUGCAGAUAUACACAUGGUUUUCAGUGAAAUAAAUGGAAUUUAGUAUGUUUGAUAUUAAUAUUAUUGGCUCCUUGCUGUUUGUAUUCAUUUUUGUGCCAGAAUAAUUUUAUAUGAGAAAAAUAUGUCUUGAAAGGUUUGUACAGAUAAAAUACAAUACUUUUUACUCGGAAAAUGCCUCCAAAAGGCCUCAUGUGGUGUUCUGUGCUGUACAUUGGUCUAUAAGAUGAUAGACUGACUCAAACUGAUCUUCACAUAAUGUUUAGCUCCUUCUACCACCUUCUGUGGUAGAGUUUUCAUCUGUAAAUCCAGGAUGCCAGAGGGAGGAAUGGAUAAGAAAGAGAAGUACUUCCAGAAUGACAAACUGAAGCUGAACCAAUAUGAAAGGAUGGGAUGGGAGCUCAGCCCUGUUGCUAAAGGAAACUACAGUGCUUCUAAUACUUCACUGUUACAUGCUUCCACUUAACUGCAUCAGGACAACACAGAAGCAGUAAAAGAAAGAGCUCGACAGAGCAAAAGAGCUGAGCUCGGAGUGUAACAGUUACGGAGCCAAGCCAAUCAGAAUUAUUUGCAAGUGUAUCUCUAUUCAGGGUAGAAGGAUCAGCUCUAAAACAUUAAAAAACAGCCUCACAAGCUGGA